CUGCAGUUAGACGAAAAGACCCCAGAAGCUUUACUAUAGCUUGAUAUUGAGUAUACGUUUUUCCUGCGUAGCAUAGGUGGGAGGAUUUGAAGUGAUGAUCUCGGUUGUCAUGGAUCCGACAGUGAAAUACCACUCUUGAACGAUGUAUAUUCUAACCACCGGGGCAAAAACCCGGCGAGACAGUAUCUGGUAGGUAGUUUUAUUGGGGCGAUAUCCUCCUAAACAGUAACGGAGGAGUCUAUUAAGGUUGGCUAGGCGCGAAUGGAAACCGUGCCGAUAGUGUAAUGGCACAAGCCAGCUUGACUGUAAGGCGUGCAUGCCGAGCAGGUGCGAAAGCAGAGCAUAGUGAACCGACGGUUCGUUUUAGACGCGGCCGGAGAUUAACGGAUAAAAGCUACUCUGGGGAUAACAGGCUAGUUGUGCCCAAGCGUCCAUAGCGACGGCACAGUUCGGCACCUCGAUGUCGGCUCAUCUUAUCCUGGGGCUGGAGAAGGUCCCAAGGGUAUGGCUGUUCGCCAUUUAAAAAGAUACGCGAGCUGGGUUCAAACCGUAGAACAUGCGUGAGACAGGUUGGUCUCCUAUCUACUGCAGGCGUUGACAAUUGAAGAGAUUUGUUUCUAGUACGAGAGGACCGAAAUGAACUGACCUCUGGUCUGGGAGCUGUCGUGCCAACGGCACCGCUCCGCAGCUAAGUCGGGAAUGGAUAACCUCUGAAAGCAUCUAAGAGGGAAGCCAACUCUAAGAUUAAUUGUCGUUAUGAGACUCCUGGGAGAUUACCAGGUUGAUAGGCGCUAGGUGUAAGCAUCGUAAGAUGUUCAGCCGUGGCGUACUAAUUC
Molecule: ribosomal RNA, 836 nt
Filed under: Parcubacteria group bacterium GW2011_GWB1_42_9
Lineage: Bacteria
Description: bacterial LSU rRNA
Rfam family: Bacterial large subunit ribosomal RNA
Source: RNAcentral